Molecule: ribosomal RNA, 494 nt
Filed under: uncultured bacterium
Lineage: Bacteria
Description: partial 16S ribosomal RNA
Rfam family: Bacterial small subunit ribosomal RNA
Source: RNAcentral
AUUGAACGCUGGCGGCAUGCUUUACACAUGCAAGUCGAACGGCAGCGGGGAGGAGCUUGCUUCUCUGCCGGCGAGUGGCGAACGGGUGAGUAAUACAUCGGAACGUGUCGAGAAGAGGGGGAUAACCACCCGAAAGGGUGGCUAAUACCGCAUAAAUUCUGAGGAAGAAAGCUGGGGACCUGGGAAUAGGCCUAGCGCUUUUUGAGCGGCCGAUGUCGGAUUAGCUAGUUGGUGAGGUAAAGGCUCACCAAGGCGAAAAUCUGUAGCGGGUCUGAGAGGAUGAUCCGCCACACUGGGACUGAGACACGGCCCAGACUCCUACGGGAGGCAGCAGUGGGGAAUUUUGGACAAUGGGGGCAACCCUGAUCCAGCCAUGCCGCGUGUAUGAAGAAGGCCUUAGGGUUGUAAAGUACUUUUGUUAGGGAAGAAAAGUCAGCUGUGAAUAAUGGCUGAUACUGACGGUACCUAAAGAAUAAGCACCGGCUAACUACGUG